GGGGCGCUGGCGCAACGGUAGCGCGUUGUAAGUUACCAUUACUUUCACACAUGAAGAAACCUCAUUCUAACAAUUAUCACAGCGACUCCAGAUCGAAAGGUUAUCCGUUCAAAUCGGGUGCGCCUCA
Aspergillus oryzae RIB40 is the source of this 127-nucleotide non-coding RNA. NCBI's taxonomy places the organism in Eukaryota, Fungi, Ascomycota, Eurotiomycetes, Eurotiales, Aspergillaceae. The record is from the annotation of a RefSeq genome assembly.